UGGCGUGUGGAAGUUCCUAGGCCAGGCAUCCAACCCGAGCCACAAGCAGUAAUAAUGCCAAGUCCUCAACCGCUGGGCCACCAGGGAACUCCUCAAAAUGUUUUAAUGCCUGACUACUUUGGUAAAAUAAUGAACCCUUACUCAGUAGUAAUAUAACUCACAUUUAUUAGCACUUGCACUUUACCUAAUUUAAUCCUCAUGGCAAAGCCCUAAUGGUUCCAUUACUUAAAAUCCUCUUUUAUAAUAAUGAGACCGAGGCACAGAGAGGUUAAGUAAUUUUUCCAAGCUCACCCAGUAGUAUGUGGUGGAACCAUGAUUCGAACUCAAGCAGUCUGACUCCAGAGCCCAUGAUGAAACUGGAGCAAAGGAGAGGAGUGGGGAGGGCUGGUGGAGAGUGGGAGACCCUGCUUUGUGUCCCCUUCUGUAAAUCUAAUCACCACUAUGUCAUAGAAAACACCGACUGGAUUGUUUCCAUGCCUCUCAGAGAAGAGCAUCCAGAGCAAUUAUGCAUAACUUGGAAAUAGGUCGAAGCUAAUACUGAGUACACUUCCUCUGUAGACCUGGAUGGUGUCUAGUGGCCUCUGCUGCCCAGGGAUUAUCUCAUUUUCUGAGGCUGCAAACCUUUUGCUGAUGAUUAGGAAGGCUAUAUCGCAAGCUUAUGAGAAUAUAGGUAACCUUGCAGAAAACUGAUAGCAUUACCAAUGACUCUUGCCCAACACCAUCCCAAAGAUUAUAACCCAGUGAGGCAUUAACCAGUUUUGCAUUUACCAGCAAAUUUAUAUCUGCAUUCCUUUGACCAACUAUAACUCUCCAGGUCCCUGAUUUUCUCUUGAAUCAGUCUUAACAUCUUACUGGUUUCCUCAUUGGUCGAACUGAAUAAAAUCUUUGACUUCUGUUGCUUUUCUCUUUGUAUAAGAGUCAUGUUGUUAACCUUUUGAAAAUUGUACUUGGCAAAUGGUAUGGCCAACGUGAGCUCCAUAUAAUGAUGAAACCAUAUUUCCAGCCUCAUUCAUCCUAAAAUGAAACCUUGUAAACUAGAAGGUAGAUAAUAUUCAUGUGUAUAUACAUAUAUAGUGAAGAAAUGUACUUUGGUUCUAGGACAUUACUAUUAAAAACUAUAAAUUGAUCAAAUAGUUAAGAACUACAGACACACUAUAGAACCGGCUCAGUGGACCCCUGUUUCUCAUUCUGUUUACAAACAGAUCUCCCCUGGAUCCCUAAUCUGAGUUCCUUUUCUGUGUAGUAUUGACUGUCACUGUUAAAGAGACUGAUUCGUGGGUGAGAAAGAAGAGGAAUUUCAGAUAUUCCGAAGGAUCCUUUUGCAUGAAGAUAUUUCUGCAUCAAAAGAACAGUGCUCCCCGAGGGCCUGGGAGGCAGGUAAACAAAAUCAACUUGUGGUUUAAACAAGGGAAUUUCCUAGGAUUCAUGAAAAUAGUGAAUAAACAGGGUCUGAUGAAACGGUGACAGGGUAUAUCUGAGAUGAUAUUUGGGGACACUUUUAAUUAGGACCUCCAGAAUUUGGUGUCAAUGAGAGGAGAGGUUUGCUCCCAUGAACAGCUUGUUUCUGGGAAGGGUGACACCCAGCCGCAGCUGGGGGAAGAAGAAAGCUCAGUAGAACAAGGGAAGCGUGACUGGGCAGGUUUGUUUUUGGCAAAAGGCAUUUAUUGCAUAAGGCGGAGGGCCCCCUCUGGAUCUGAUGCUGUACCAGUCCACGCCAGCAAGGACGUUCAGUCGUGCAGCAAAGAGAAGUCCAACAAAGAACAUGAGCAAGUAAGGUCUUAAAAACACCUCUAGAGAGGGAUCAGUGCGGCAGGGCUCAGAGAAUGAAGUCAUAUCCAGGGCUAGGGGCAGGGCUGGCCUCAAAGAGAACGUAGGAUUCAAGAUGAGACUGAAAGCACAGCUAGGAUUUCAUCAGACAGAGAUGCAGAUGAUGCACUGACGUCCAAGCACAGAGCACAAGCAAAGAAACAGAUGGGAAACAGAAUGGUGUUUCAAGAAAGUCGUGAACAGCAGAGUGGGAACAAGACACGGGGGGCAUAGUGUAGGAGUCUCCCAAGUGCUAGGCUUGAGGAGUUUGUUCUUAUUUCAGUAGAAAAAGGAACAUUGGAGUAAGGGAAGGACGUGACCAAGAAGGCUGUUUUAAGACUUGGGUCUGGCAGUAGUAAGUUUGCAAUGGAAAGGAACUAAGAUCGGUUGAGCACUUAGAUAUUUCACAUAUGUUACCCCCAUUAAAUCCUCACACCCUGAAAGAGGGAUGACACCUGCUUUACAGAUGAGGAGAUGAAGCCUCGGAGGGAUCAAGAAAUUAAAGUCACCGUGGACAUAAAGGGCAGAGAUGGGACCCCAACUCCAAAGCCGCCUUCCUUUCUACCAUACCUUGCUACCUGGGGGGAAGGGCUGCAGGUGAAAAGACCAUUUCAGAAACUGUCAUUAACAAUCUAAGCAACAGGUGGUUUUGGCCAAAACUCAGAUGGUAUAGCUUUGGGAAUGGAAAGGACAUAAACUGAAGAAGCAUCAAAGGACAGUCUAGGGAAUGCGGCAAGGAAAUUACAUGCCUAGGAAGAAUCUGAAUAACACCUCGCCUUGAAGCCUCAGGAGACAAGGAAGCCAUUAACAGAAACAAAGAGUCUGGAGAAAGACUGUGCAGGCAAGGCUCAGCUCACUUAGGAUCGAGUUUUGCGAGAGCCAUGGUCAGGCAGUCUCAACCGAAGAGGUGGCAGACCUCUGCUGGGAAGUGAGAAUUGAAGACAAAAAAUAAAUGAGCAAAUAUGAAACAGGACUUUAGAAAAUGCCUACAUUUAGGAGGUGAGAUGAUAGAGGAUACAUUCUAAAAAGAAGAUUCUGGAUCAUGCCGCCACCAGAAUCAAAAGCAGGGGAGAAUUUCAAGGCAGUGACCCACAGGGUCAGGAGUUGAGCAGCAGGAACGCUGGUGGCCUCAGUUUGCAACACGGCAGGGGAGCUCUGGGUGUCCAGGAUGGUGGUUGCAGGGAGCCUGGGGCACACGCCAGACUGAGGCACCGAGGAAUCCUUAGGAUUGCGAGACUGGGCAAGCCUUAGGCCAAGGUGAUCAGAAGGAAGGCGCCAGGACCCAGUGAGAGAAGGAAGAUGCAGGAGAGAGAACAGGUAAUGAAUGGAACCAAAACCCAGGGCUGAGGUCCUGGGGAUGGAGGGAGAAAAGAGUGCUUUCCCUUUUUUUCCUUUCACACCUACAGAAAACCUGUUAUACUGAUUUGGCUCUUCUUACAAAUCAGCAUUUAUUGUGCUAUGUACCCCUAACUUGGAACGGAACUAGCAAACCACGAUAAGUAACAAUGAGCCCUUUUCUGGUCUAUUUUAAGGACAAAUGCUGCUGUUUGGCGAUGGGAUCUGCUCGUGUUUAAACUAGAAGCGGGGGGCGGGGGGAGCAGAACCCCUCUCUAACCUGGCUGGAUAGUUUUAUUACUAUUUAAAGCAUCCCUUUCAGCGAUUUAGGAAACAUUAAUGCGUGCUGGCUAAUGUCGGCUGGAAACCGAAAGUCUGACAGCAGCUCUCAGCCAAUCCUGAGAUUUGGUGAGGAUUUUUAUUUUGGUCGUCCUGAGCCUACUGUAACUGGGGCGGCUGAGUUGCUAUGGUGAUUUGUUCUCCAAACAGAGGGCUUUGCCGCAGUACCUUGAAACAGCAGAUCAAUCUACUUUAUGUUGACUUGAUCAUGAUAUUAAUUCUAGUUGAAACCUCCCCCAGGCUCCCAUCAGGACUUGUACGCAGGAAUUUUAAAUCCGGGUCCAAGAGGCAUCGUCUUUUUAAAGCCAGGCCCUCACAAUUCCUGCCCCCGAGACUGCAGGCUCACAGUCAAAAGCUCCGGGGUCAGGGGUGGGGGGGACUGCAGUUGGAGGAAGGUUCAUCAUUGAAGCAAUUAUGUGCUUAAUCGCUGCAGCGUGGGCACCGGCUGCAAGUUGUGACUCAUUCCCCACUCUGUCACUAAUAAUUGGGGGCGGUGGACAGGAUGCACAGAAAACUCAGCUGCUUUUUCCCGAGUUCCUCUUGCAAAUCUGGAAGUCGCUGAGAUCCGUCCUUGAAGCAGGGGAGAAAGGCCGACCUCAGCUCCACGACGUGGCCCUGCCUGUCUCCACCGGUAGGGGGCCCCAUUGAGUCACCGGACUCUAUAAGGAUGACUGCACUUUGAAUGGGGGUGUAGCUGCCUCUGGGUCUUGCCCAACGGUGACGCGGGAGAGGAAAAAAAAAAAAAAAAAGGAGCUGCCUGAUUUCCAGCGUGACUCAUUAUAAACAAACGGAGGACAGAUUGACUGCCUCUUAUCAGAGCCUGAGUAUGAGCCCCAGGACUGAGGAUAACAUGCCCCGUUGUGAGCAGGAAAAGUCACUUUUCCUUCCUCUUGCUAUAGAGUCUCUUGCUAAUUCCAGCUUCUGGCUGAUAACCUUAUGGGGUCUUCAAAAUCAUUAUUUGGAAAACAAUGCCCGUUUACUCAACAACCACUCCUGAAGCUCCUACUGUGUGCCAGACAAUGACUGAAAUGACCAAAGAACUAGAAAAAAAUCCUUGCAUACCCACCUGCCAUAGUGUCCUAGAGCUGCCAUAACAAAGCACUGCACAUUGGGUGAUUACAGCAACAGAAAUUUAUUCUCUCCCAGUUCCAGAAGUUGGAAGUCAAGGUAUCAGUCGGGCCAGGCUCCCCCAGAGGCUGCAGGGGAGAAUCCUCCUUCACCACUUCCAGCUCCUGAAGGCUGCGGGUAAGGCUUGCAUUGCUCAACUCCUAUGCAGCUUCCCCCUUCCAGUCUCUGCCUUCAUCUUCACAUGGGCUUCUUCCUUCUGAGUGUAUCUCGGUGUAGUCUCUCCUCGUCUUAGAAGGACAGCAGUCACUGGACUUAGGGCGCACCAUACCCCUGUAUGAUAUCCUCUCAACAGUUACAUCUGCAAACACCCCAUUUCCAGUUAAGGUCACAUCCUGAGGUUCCUGGUGGAUGUGGAGUUUGGGGAGACAUUAUUCAACCCUGUACAAAGACUCUUGUUUUUUGUUUCUGUCUCUGUUUCUUUGUCUCUGUCAUUCUCUCUUCUUUGCAGGAUGAGUUAGCUUUGUAAAAAUUAAUUGGGACACUUUUAAAUUUUUUAUACCCUGAAAACAAUUCGAUCAUAUAGAAAUUCUCUCUUCCUUUAAGGUUUGACAGAAUUUGCCCAACGCCUCCCCCAAAUUGCCUAAGUUCACGUUUCAUCAAAGUCUUGCAGAGUUCUUUAUCAGCUGCUUCUGUGACUUUUCAUCUUGUUGAAUUUUUCUGCCUAUUCUUGAGUGGAUUAUAUUGUCUUAUUUUGGUUAAUAUUUUAUUAGCAUAAAUUUAAACACAGUGUGCUUUUAGCUUGAAUCCUCUUUCAUGUCUUUGUCUCUCAUCCCUUUUAUAUUUCUAGAGCUGUUUAUUUGCAUUUUUUUCUUUUUUUUCCUCAUGCAAACUUGCCAGAGGUUUGUCUCAUUUAUUGGUCUUUUUUUUUUUUUUUUUUUUUUGCGCAUGGUUCCUAGUCGGAUUCGUUUCCACUGUGCCACGAUGGGAACUCCUUAUUGAUCUUUUAAAAGAGUUAGCUCUUUGAUUUGUCUUAUCAAUUCUAUUGUUUUCUGUUUUCUAAUUUGCUUUUGUCUGCUUUUCUCUUUCCUUCUUUCCUUCUGCCACCCUUAGAUUUAUUUUAUUAGUUUUUAAUCUCAGUUGUUUAGUUAAUUGCUUUUUUAUUCAUUUUUAUCUUAUAACAAAACCACUUAGCUUUAUCUUUUCUCCAGUAAGUAGCCAGAGAGAUGGGCGCACUGUGAGACCAUCAUAGCCAGGAGUCAGGGCCUGGGAAUAGAAAAGAUCAAAAACAUCUUUCUUGGGAGUUCCCUUUGUGG
Sus scrofa (pig) is the source of this 5861-nucleotide non-coding RNA. Lineage: Eukaryota; Metazoa; Chordata; Mammalia; Artiodactyla; Suidae. The record is from RefSeq and is a predicted model, not a curated record.